Molecule: ribosomal RNA, 273 nt
Filed under: uncultured bacterium
Lineage: Bacteria
Description: partial 16S ribosomal RNA
Rfam family: Bacterial small subunit ribosomal RNA
Source: RNAcentral
CCGGCGACCGGCGCACGGGUGAGUAACACGUAUGCGACCUGACCCCCCGCAGGGGGGAUUAACCGGGAGAAAUCCCGACUAAUACCGCGUAACGCCGCGGACCUGCAUGGGUCUGCGGCCAAAGGAAGCGAUUCCGGCGGGGGAUGGGCAUGCGGCGCAUUAGCUAGUCGGCGGGGUAACGGCCCACCGAGGCGACGAUGCGUAGGGGUUCUGAGAGGAAGGUCCCCCACACUGGUACUGAGACACGGACCAGACUCCUACGGAAGGCAGCAG